This 1672-nucleotide long non-coding RNA is filed under the name Ananas comosus (pineapple). RNAcentral describes it as "long non-coding RNA (ACOM_LNC041009)". The record is from RNAcentral. Lineage: Eukaryota; Viridiplantae; Streptophyta; Magnoliopsida; Poales; Bromeliaceae.
GAUGUGUCGACCAGUCACUAAUACUGUAGCGAAUCCGAUCCAAACCUCAGGAACACUACAAUAUGCAUUGUUAAUACACAUUUUGCAUGAUUUUUAUACUAAAUUACGUAUAGUUUAGUAUAUUACGCAAAAAUAAUAUAAUAUAUUACAAUAUAUUAUAAAAAUUAUACAAUAUAUAUACAAACGGUGUAUAUUUUACACUAUUUGUACAGAUAUUUACACCAUUUGUGUAAACGUUGCACUAUUAUGAGAGGAUAUUGCACCAUUUAGAUGUGUGAUACACAUUUUGCAUAAUUUUUAUACUAAAUUAAGUACAGUUUAGUAUAUUACGCGAAAAUAAUAUAAUAUAUUACAACAUACUAUAAAAAUUAUACAAUAUAUGUGCAAACAUUGCAUAUUUUACACUAUUUGUAUAGAUAUUUAUACCAUUUGUGUAAACGUUACACUAUUAUGAGAAGAUAUUGUACCAUUUAGACGUGUGUUGCAUUUUUUCUUUUUGAAAAAUAAAUUUUAUUGCAUAUUAAAUAAAGUGUCAAAUUUCUUGAAAAUGACAGCUGUUAAGCCAUAAUUACAUGCACCUUUCUCAUAAAACAAGAAAUCUCAUUCAAGACAAAAUAAAAAGAAUAAUGUAUAAUUAAUAAGAUGAAAGAGUGCAACAUGCUCUUUCAAAUAGUGCAAUAUCUGUAUAAGUAGUGCAACAUAUGCAUUGUUAAUACACAUUUUGCAUGAUUUUUACACUAAAUUACGUACAGUUUAGUAUAUUACGUGAAAAUAAUAUAAUAAAUUACAACAUAUUAUAAAAAUUAUACAAUUUAUGUAUAAACAAUACAUACUUUACACUAUUUGUAUAGAUAUUUAUACCAUUUGUAUAAACGUUGCACUAUUAUGAGAAUAUAUUGUACCAUUUAGAUAUGUGUUGCACUCUUUCUUUUUGAAAAAUAAAUUUUAUUGUAUAUUAAAUAAAGUGUCAAAUUUCUUGGAAUUGACAACUGCUAAGUCAUAAUUACAUGUAUCUUUCUCGUGAAACAAGGAACUUCAUUUAAGACAAAAUAAAAAAAUAAAGAAUAAUUAAUAAGAUGAAAGAGUGCAACAUUCUCUCAAAUAAUGCAACAUGCUCUUCCAAAUAGUACAAUAUCUGUAUAAGUAGUGCAACAUAUGCAAUGUUAAUAUACAUUUUAUAUGAUUUUUACACUAAAUUACGUACAGUUUAGUAUAUUACGUAAAAAUAAUAUAAUAUAUUACAAAAUAUUAUAAAAAUUAUACAAUAUAUGUACAAAUAGUGCAUAUUUUACACUAUUUGUACAGAUAUUUAUAACAUUUUUGUAAACGUUGUACUGUUAUGAGAGAAUAUUGCAAUAUUUAGAUGUGUGUUGCAUAUUUUUUUAAAAAAAUUAAAUUUUAUUGCAUAUUGAAUAAAGUGUUAAAUUUUUUAAAAAUGAAAGUUGCUAAGCCAUAAUUAUAUGUAACUUUUUCGUAAAACGAGAAACCCCAGUCAAGACAAAAUAAAAAGUAUAAAAAAUAAUUAAUAAGAUGAAAGAGUACAACAUGCUCUCAAAUAUUGCAACAUACUCUUCCAAAUAGUGCAAUAUCUGUAUAAGUAAUGCAACAUAUGUAUUGUUAAUAUACAUUUUGUAUGAUUUUUACACUAAAUUACGUACAGUUUAGUAUAUUA